AUACGUAGGGUGCGAGCGUUGUCCGGAAUUACUGGGCGUAAAGAGCUCGUAGGUGGUUUGUCGCGUCGUCUGUGAAAUUCCGGGGCUUAACUCCGGGCGUGCAGGCGAUACGGGCAUAACUUGAGUACUGUAGGGGAGACUGGAAUUCCUGGUGUAGCGGUGAAAUGCGCAGAUAUCAGGAGGAACACCGGUGGCGAAGGCGGGUCUCUGGGCAGUAACUGACGCUGAGGAGCGAAAGCAUGGGUAGCGAACAGGAUGAGAUACCCUGGUAGUCCAUGCCGUAAACGGUGGGCGCUAGGUGUAGGGGUCUUCCACGACUUCUGUGCCGUAGCUAACGCAUUAAGCGCCCCGCCUGGGGAGUACGGCCGCAAGGUUGAAACUCAAAUGAAUUGACGGGG
RNAcentral lists this ribosomal RNA (398 nucleotides) under uncultured bacterium. Its description in RNAcentral is "partial 16S ribosomal RNA". It matches the Rfam family "Bacterial small subunit ribosomal RNA", at positions 523 to 918 of the family's 1533-position model. The record is from RNAcentral.